RNAcentral lists this ribosomal RNA (377 nucleotides) under uncultured Glomus. RNAcentral describes it as "SSU rRNA". It matches the Rfam family "Eukaryotic small subunit ribosomal RNA", at positions 635 to 1016 of the family's 1831-position model. Lineage: Eukaryota; Fungi; Glomeromycota; Glomeromycetes; Glomerales; Glomeraceae. The record is from RNAcentral.
UGAAUUUCGGGAUUAGUGCUUGGGUCGUGCCACAGGUAUGUACUUCGACAUCAGUGCUCAUCUUCCUGAUGAGCCGUAAUGCCAUUAAUUUGGUGUUGCGGGGAAUUUGGACUGUUACUUUGAAAAAAUUAGAGUGUUUAAAGCAAGCUAACGCUUGAAUACAUUAGCAUGGAAUAAUGAAAUAGGACGUUCGAUCCUAUUUUGUUGGUUUCUAGGAUUGACGUAAUGAUUAAUAGGGAUAGUUGGGGGCAUUAGUAUUCAAUUGUCAGAGGUGAAAUUCUUGGAUUUAUUGAAGACUAACUACUGCGAAAGCAUUUGCCAAGGAUGUUUUCAUUAAUCAAGAACGAAAGUUAGGGGAUCGAAGACGAUCAGAUACC